Molecule: ribosomal RNA, 425 nt
Filed under: uncultured bacterium
Lineage: Bacteria
Description: bacterial SSU rRNA
Rfam family: Bacterial small subunit ribosomal RNA
Source: RNAcentral
GGGGAAUAUUGCACAAUGGGCGCAAGCCUGAUGCAGCCAUGCCGCGUGUAUGAAGAAGGCCUUCGGGUUGUAAAGUACUUUCAGCGAGGAGGAAGGGGGAAUGGUUAAUAACCAUUUUCAUUGACGUUACUCGCAGAAGAAGCACCGGCUAACUCCGUGCCAGCAGCCGCGGUAAUACGGAGGGUGCAAGCGUUAAUCGGAAUUACUGGGCGUAAAGCGCACGCAGGCGGUCUGUCAAGUCGGAUGUGAAAUCCCCGGGCUCAACCUGGGAACUGCAUUCGAAACUGGCAGGCUAGAGUCUUGUAGAGGGGGGUAGAAUUCCAGGUGUAGCGGUGAAAUGCGUAGAGAUCUGGAGGAAUACCGGUGGCGAAGGCGGCCCCCUGGACAAAGACUGACGCUCAGGUGCGAAAGCGUGGGGAGCAAAC